Molecule: ribosomal RNA, 443 nt
Filed under: uncultured bacterium
Lineage: Bacteria
Description: partial 16S ribosomal RNA
Rfam family: Bacterial small subunit ribosomal RNA
Source: RNAcentral
CCUACGGGAGGCUGCAGUGGGGAAUAUUGGGCAAUGGGCGCAAGCCUGACCCAGCAACGCCGCGUGAAGGAAGAAGGCUUUCGGGUUGUAAACUUCUUUUAACAGGGACGAAGAAAGUGACGGUACCUGAGGAAUAAGCCACGGUUAACUCCGUGCCAGCAGCCGCGGUAAUACGUAGGUGGCAAGCGUUUUCCGGAUUUAUUGGGUGUAAAGGGCGUGUAGGCGGGAGGGCAAGUCAGAUGUGAAAUCUCAGGGCUCAACCCUGAACCUGCAUUUGAAACUGUGUUUCUUGAGUGCUGGAGAGGUAAUCGGAAUUCCGUGCGUAGCGGUGAAAUGCGUAGAUAUACGGAGGAACACCAGUGGCGAAGGCGGAUGGCUGGACGGUAACUGACGGUGAGGCGCGAAAGCGUGGGGAGCAAACAGGAUUAGAUACCCGAGUAGUC